GGUCGUAUAGCUCAGUUGGUUAGAGCGCAGCAUUCAUAAUGCUGAUGUCGUAGGUUCAAGUCCUACUACGACCACCA
This 77-nucleotide transfer RNA is filed under the name Comamonas kerstersii. RNAcentral's name for it is "tRNA-Met". It matches the Rfam family "tRNA". Rfam says of the family: Transfer RNA (tRNA) molecules are approximately 80 nucleotides in length. Their secondary structure includes four short double-helical elements and three loops (D, anti-codon, and T loops). Lineage: Bacteria; Pseudomonadati; Pseudomonadota; Betaproteobacteria; Burkholderiales; Comamonadaceae. The record is from RNAcentral.